Molecule: unclassified non-coding RNA, 519 nt
Filed under: Hevea brasiliensis (rubber tree)
Lineage: Eukaryota; Viridiplantae; Streptophyta; Magnoliopsida; Malpighiales; Euphorbiaceae
Source: RNAcentral
GAGGAAAUGGGCUACAAAAGCUGGCCAUGGAUAUUUAUGAGUCUUGUCCCCAUAUAUUCCUCCAAAGACAAAGGUAGUAGAGCCUCUGCCAAUUUGGAAAUCUAGAAACAACAGCAGUUACUGAAAGGAGGAGGAAAUUACUGCAUAAGCCUUAAGACAGAGACUCUGAAUUGAGUUCUUUUGCAGCAAGGAAAGCCAAUCUGAUAGUGACCAUUAUCUCUUGAAGCUACAAUCAUUGCUGCACUUCUGUAUUAAACAGUCGUGACGAUGGAAGAAGUGAAGGGAAGGCUUACAGCAUAAUCUUGAUUCAGGCUGAAAGAAGAAACAUGCAUCAAAUGUUCUUUGUCAACAUUCAAAACUCUGACUAGUCACUAAUACUAGUGUACUGAAAUGCAUUUGUAAAAAGCAUUGCUUAUCUAGAUUACUAUAUAGGGAUAUGGGAUUAUGGAUUGCUUAUAAUUAUGGAUUGCUGUGAUCUGAUAUGCCAUCCCUAACAUAUAUGGAAUCUACUCCAUACAC